This 155-nucleotide ribosomal RNA is filed under the name uncultured Nevskia sp. Its description in RNAcentral is "partial 16S ribosomal RNA". It matches the Rfam family "Bacterial small subunit ribosomal RNA", at positions 379 to 525 of the family's 1533-position model. Lineage: Bacteria; Pseudomonadati; Pseudomonadota; Gammaproteobacteria; Nevskiales; Nevskiaceae. The record is from RNAcentral.
AGUCCUGAGUCCCGCAUGCCGCGUGUGUGAAGAAGGCCUUCGGGUUGUAAAGCUCUUUUGUUGGGAAGAAAGGCUUUUUCCUAGUACGUUGUUGUCUUGACGGUACCGACAGAGUAAGCCCCGGCUAACUCCGUGCCCGCAGCCGCGGAAAUCAA